GCUUCUAUGGUGGAAUUGGUAGACGCAAAAGCGGUCAGACCCUUUGCAUUUGCGUGCUGGUUCAAGUCCGGCUAGAAGUG
This is a non-coding RNA of Tribonema minus, 80 nucleotides long. NCBI's taxonomy places the organism in Eukaryota, Xanthophyceae, Tribonematales, Tribonemataceae. The record is from the annotation of a GenBank genome assembly.